RNAcentral lists this ribosomal RNA (878 nucleotides) under uncultured Enhydrobacter sp. RNAcentral describes it as "bacterial SSU rRNA". It matches the Rfam family "Bacterial small subunit ribosomal RNA", at positions 56 to 932 of the family's 1533-position model. The record is from RNAcentral. Lineage: Bacteria; Pseudomonadati; Pseudomonadota; Alphaproteobacteria; Hyphomicrobiales.
UGCAAGUCGAACGAUGAUUUCCCAGCUUGCUGGGAAUGAUUAGUGGCGGACGGGUGAGUAACAUUUAGGAAUCUGCCUAGUAGUGGGGGAUAGCUCGGGGAAACUCGAAUUAAUACCGCAUACGACCUACGGGUGAAAGGGGGCGCAAGCUCUUGCUAUUAGAUGAGCCUAAAUCAGAUUAGCUAGUUGGUGGGGUAAGGGCCCACCAAGGCGACGAUCUGUAACUGGUCUGAGAGGAUGAUCAGUCACACCGGAACUGAGACACGGUCCGGACUCCUACGGGAGGCAGCAGUGGGGAAUAUUGGACAAUGGGGGCAACCCUGAUCCGGCCAUGCCGCGUGUGUGAAGAAGGCCUUUUGGUUGUAAAGCACUUUAAGCAGGGAGGAGAGGCUAAUGGUUAAUACCCAUUAGAUUAGACGUUACCUGCAGAAUAAGCACCGGCUAACUCUGUGCCAGCAGCCGCGGUAAUACAGAGGGUGCGAGCGUUAAUCGGAAUUACUGGGCGUAAAGCGAGUGUAGGUGGCUCAUUAAGUCACAUGUGAAAUCCCCGGGCUUAACCUGGGAACUGCGUGUGAUACUGGUGGUGCUAGAAUAUGUGAGAGGGAAGUAGAAUUCCAGGUGUAGCGGUGAAAUGCGUAGAGAUCUGGAGGAAUACCGAUGGCGAAGGCAGCUUCCUGGCAUAAUAUUGACACUGAGAUUCGAAAGCGUGGGUAGCAAACAGGAUUAGAUACCCUGGUAGUCCACGCCGUANACGAUGUCUACUAGCCGUUGGGGUCCUUGAGACUUUAGUGGCGCAGUUAACGCGAUAAGUAGACCGCCUGGGGAGUACGGCCGCAAGGUUAAAACUCAAAUGAAUUGACGGGGGCCCGCACAAGCGG